This 76-nucleotide transfer RNA is filed under the name Shewanella putrefaciens. RNAcentral describes it as "tRNA-Lys". It matches the Rfam family "tRNA". Rfam says of the family: Transfer RNA (tRNA) molecules are approximately 80 nucleotides in length. Their secondary structure includes four short double-helical elements and three loops (D, anti-codon, and T loops). The record is from RNAcentral. Lineage: Bacteria; Pseudomonadati; Pseudomonadota; Gammaproteobacteria; Alteromonadales; Shewanellaceae.
GGGUCGUUAGCUCAGCCGGUAGAGCAGUUGGCUUUUAACCAAUUGGUCGAAGGUUCGAAUCCUUCACGACCCACCA